Molecule: ribosomal RNA, 419 nt
Filed under: uncultured bacterium
Lineage: Bacteria
Description: bacterial SSU rRNA
Rfam family: Bacterial small subunit ribosomal RNA
Source: RNAcentral
UAAGGAAUAUUGCUUAAUGGGAGAAAUCCUGAAGCAGCAACGCCGCGUGGAGGAUGAAGGGUCUAUGACUUGUAAACUCCUGUAAAGAAGGAAAAAAUUCCCAUUUGAUGGGAGAUGAUGGUACUUCUGGAGUAAGCCCCGGCUAACUACGUGCCAGCAGCCGCGGCAAUACGUAGGGGGCAAGCAUUGUCCGGAUUUACUGGGUGUAAGGGUGCUCAGGCGGAUUUGUAAGUCAGAGGUGAAAUCUUACAGCUUAACUGUGAAACUGCCUUUGAUACUGCAAGCCUAAAGUAUGGAAGAGAGUGAUGGAAUAUCUGGUGUAGCAGUGAAAUGCGUAGAUAUCAGAUAGAACACCAAUGGCGAAGGCAGUCACUUGGUCCAUUACUGACGCUAAAGCACGAAAGCGUGGGUAGCAAACA